CCCCCCUGCCACUCGCGUAUCUAUCGCUUAUCUUCUUUGCGGCGAGGUACAACUGCUGCCUCAGCACGUGCGUCUUGUGCAUCUCAGCACCUCCAUUGUGCGCGCUUUUUCGGGGCUCGCUCUCCUCUUUUUCAUCUGAACGAAUCGGGAGUGCCCACGCAUCGCUGCCUCGACGCCGUCUUCCACGCCAGCAUAGGCAUACGUGCGCGCAGUCACGAGCACCAAAAGCGGGUGGGGAAUGGCGGCGCCGUUUCUGCCCGAGGCGGAGAGCACCGCUGCGCCAGCGGCCCUCCGCUCCAACGCACCGGACGAGGUGGAGGUGCUGCCCAUUGGCAGUGGGGGCGAGGUGGGCCGCUCGUGUGUGGUGGUGCGAUACAAGGGGCGCGGCGUCAUGCUUGACUGCGGCAACCACCCGGCCAAAAGCGGUCUUGACUCCUUGCCCUUCUUUGACAGCAUCAAGUGCGACGAGAUCGAUGUGGUGCUCAUCACGCACUUCCACCUCGACCACUGCGGGGCAUUGCCGUACUUCUGCAAUCAGACGUCCUUCAAGGGCCGCAUCUUCAUGACCAGCGCCACCAAGGCCUUCUACAAGAUGGUCAUGAACGACUUCCUGCGCAUCGGCGCCGGGGCCAGCGACCUUGUCACGAGCGAGUGGCUACAGAGCACAAUCGAUCGCAUUGAGACCGUCGAGUACCACGAAGAGGUCACCGUGAACGGCAUCUCCUUCCAGCCCUUCAAUGCCGGCCACGUGCUUGGAGCAGCCAUGUUCAUGGUCGACAUUGCCGGCAUGCGUGCCCUGUACACAGGCGACUUCUCCCGAGUGCCGGACCGCCACCUGCUGGGGGCAGAGGUGCCACCGUACUCACCAGACAUCCUGAUUGCGGAGAGUACAAACGGCAUCCGCGAGCUCGAGUCCCGCGAGGAGCGCGAGCACCUCUUCACGAGCAGUGUGCACGACGUCGUACGCCGCGGCGGUCGCUGUCUAGUGCCCGUCUUUGCCCUAGGCCGCGCGCAGGAACUGCUCCUCAUUCUCGAGGAGUUCUGGGAUGCGCACAAGGAGCUGCAGAACAUUCCCAUCUACUACGCCUCGUCGCUGGCCCAGCGGUGCAUGAAACUUUACCAAACCUUCGUCAGCGCCAUGAACGACCGUGUGAAGCAGCAGCAUGCCAAUCACCACAACCCCUUCGUCUUCAAGUACAUCCACUCGCUUAUGGACACAAAGUCCUUCGAGGACAACGGUCCGUGCGUGGUGCUGGCCUCCCCCGGUAUGCUUCAGUCGGGCAUCUCGCUGGAGCUAUUUGAGCGUUGGUGCGGCGACCGGCGCAACGGCAUCAUCAUGGCCGGCUACUGCGUCGACGGCACCAUUGCAAAGGAUGUGCUCGCGAAGCCGAAGGAGGUGGCGAAGCCGGACGGCAAAGUGCUACCGUUGCGCAUGAGCACCAUUGAGGCCGUCUCCUUCUCCGCCCACUCGGACGGUCGGCAGACGCGCGACUUCAUUCAAAGCCUUACCAAGGUGAAGCACACAAUCCUUGUGCACGGCAACCCAGGCGCCAUGGGGCAGCUCAAGAGCAAGCUUCUUCAGGACUUCCGGGACCGCAACAUGUCCGUCUACACUACCAUGAACCAAGAGUCAAUCCGUAUUCCGUUCGUGCAGGAGCGCACCGCGAAGGUGAUGGGCAAGCUGGCAAACAUGAGCCUGCGGGAGGGCGAGUUUGUGAGCGGCGUGAUGCUCGUGUCCGGCCAGCACCAGUACAGCAUCGUCCACCCCGACGACGUCCCGGUGUUCACCGAUCUGAGCGUGAACCGUAUUCAGCAGGCCAUGGUCCUUCCUCUGCCGCGUCACCGCUCGCCGCUGGAGGUGCUGCAGGUGCUUCAGCGGUACUUUGCGCAGAGCAAACUGUUCGAGGAGGUGGUGCCGCGCCCGUCCAGCCACGAGGAAGCGGCAGAGGCCCAUCAAGCAGCCGCCGAGCGCGGCGAGGCCCGCGACCCCGACUCGACCCUGCUGUUCGUCUCCAAAGAUGUCACUGUCGAUGUGCAGAAGAGCUCGCAGGCGCAGACGACGCUCACCAUCACGUGGUACAGCAGCCACUACAACGACCUCCUCGCCGACGUCACGUGCAUCGCGCUCGCCAAGCUUGCCGAGGAGCCGCAUGAGGCGGAGGCGGAGGACGUGCUUGUGCCUGCCGACGUCUCCGGCCAGGACCGUAUCUUCCGUGUCAAGUGCUUCCACUACAUGAUCUCGCAGUUCUAUCCGUCCGUCAAGACGAACUUGUCGUCGGGUAGCUGCAGCGUCAGCCUUGCGGAUGGUCAGGUAGCAAACAUCGUGGACUGCAUCGAGGUCUACUUGGAACGCAGUGCUGGCAAGAAGGACGUCGACUACGACGCGCCAGAGGUUCAGAAGCUGAAGCAGAUUCUGAAGCGCAUCUACCUGACGUUGUUCCCCAUUCCAGCGGACAACGGCUGGUGCGACUGCGGCAUGAUUCACGGCGAAGAACCCGUGGCGGAGUAACGGUGGCCUCGGCGCCCGCCACCUUCCCCCUCCCCUCCUCUCCCCCCCUCUCACCGUCCUUGUCGCGGCUUUCCACGGCGCCGCAUCGUUGCUACUCGUUGCUCGCCAG
Molecule: unclassified non-coding RNA, 2618 nt
Filed under: Leishmania donovani
Lineage: Eukaryota; Euglenozoa; Kinetoplastea; Trypanosomatida; Trypanosomatidae
Description: gene:LdHU3.34.5370(CDS-product:cleavage_and_polya denylation_specificity_factor_putative)
Source: RNAcentral